AAUGUGGUGCCUGAUUAAAGGGUAGUUUUGAUAGAACUAAUUAAGUAUAAUAAUACCCAUAUUA
This 64-nucleotide transfer RNA is filed under the name Austropotamobius torrentium (stone crayfish). Its description in RNAcentral is "tRNA-Ile". Lineage: Eukaryota; Metazoa; Arthropoda; Malacostraca; Decapoda; Astacidae. The record is from RNAcentral.